This 425-nucleotide ribosomal RNA is filed under the name uncultured bacterium. RNAcentral describes it as "bacterial SSU rRNA". It matches the Rfam family "Bacterial small subunit ribosomal RNA", at positions 354 to 796 of the family's 1533-position model. The record is from RNAcentral.
GUGGGGAAUCUUGGACAAUGGGCGAAAGCCUGAUCCAGCCAUGCCGCGUGAAUGAUGAAGGCCCUAGGGUUGUAAAAUUCUUUCGACGGGGAAGAUAAUGACGGUACCCGUAGAAGAAGCUCCGGCUAACUUCGUGCCAGCAGCCGCGGUAAUACGAAGGGGGCUAGCGUUGUUCGGAAUUACUGGGCGUAAAGCGCACGUAGGCGGAUCGAUAAGUAAGGGGUGAAAUCCCAGAGCUCAACUCUGGAACUGCCUUUUAGACUGUCGAUCUGGAGCAGAGUAGAGGUGAGUGGAAUUCCGAGUGUAGAGGUGAAAUUCGUAGAUAUUCGGAGGAACACCAGUGGCGAAGGCGGCUCACUGGACUCUUGCUGACGCUGAGGUGCGAAAGCGUGGGGAGCAAACAGGAUUAGAAACCCCAGUAGUCC